RNAcentral lists this long non-coding RNA (43266 nucleotides) under Prunus persica (peach). RNAcentral describes it as "long non-coding RNA (PPER_LNC006982)". The record is from RNAcentral. Lineage: Eukaryota; Viridiplantae; Streptophyta; Magnoliopsida; Rosales; Rosaceae.
UAUUUCACUCUCCUCUUAGUUUUCCUUCCCAAAGUGGAGUGUUUGAAUCUUGUCAUAUUCCUUUUCUUCUCGUCUGUCUCUAAUUUGAAUUUUCUAUUAAUAUCAAUAUAGUUUAAUUAUGAGUUUACUUUGAAUUUUUUCUUUUUGUUUCAUGUACCUUGAUCCGUGUAUACAUUCUAAAAGAUGUUCUCGUAACCUAGAACUCAUACCACUUGACUGAGAAGUCGAACAUACAUUUCACCAGCGGAGAAGCACACCUUGGUGGAACUGCCAUUCACCACCAUGGCCAAAGUCGAAAGAGCACUGAGGUAAUUUGCCACCCUAAUGACAACCCCUUUAGCGAUCCAACAUCCUACUAUCGUGGCCAACAAUUUUGAGAUCAAACCAGUCGUGAUCACUAUGCUGUAGAAUUCAUCCGUAUUUUGUGGUUUGCCGAAUGAAGAUCCAAAUGUACAUCUUGCAGUAUAUUUGGAGAUUUGUGACACAUCCAAGUUCAAUGGGUGACUGAUGAUGUGAUUUGUUUAAAGUUAUUCUUCUUCUCCUUGAAGGAUAAAGCCAAGCUUUAGUUAUUGUCACAGCCACAAGACUCUAUUUGUACUUGAGAUGACUUAUCAAAGAAAUUCAUUGCUAAGUUUUUCCCUCCAACCAAAACUGCAAAAUUUUGGCAAGAUAUUAUAUCUCUUGCUUAGUAUGAUAAGAAACCUUUUUAUGAAGCUUGGGAAUGAUUCAAAGAUUUAUUGCGCAAGUGUCCUCACCAUGAGCUCCCAACUUGGAUUCAUGUUGUUCAGACUUUUAUAAUAGAUUAAGUUAAACAAGCAGAACAUUAGUUGACGCAGCAACUAGAGACACUUUUAAUGGGAAAAAUGGCUACAAAAGCAUUUGAAUUAUUGCAGACCAUAGCUUUCAACAGCUACUAGUGGUCGAGUGAGAGAGUGAGCUUGAAGCCAGCUGGGGUCUUGGAAGUGGGCUUUGUUAACAUCAUAAAAUUCUAACCUUACUAAAACAGUUGAUUAUUUGAGUGUUAAUGUUGUGAACACUAAUACUAAAUUUGGUUGUUAUUUUUAGGUUGGCCCUUAUACAAGUUAUGAGUGCACCACAUGGGACCCAAUCGUGUCCGUUGAGCUAGUAAAUCAGGUUGCAGAAUUUAAUCGACAAGGGAAUAAUCCUUAUUCCAACAUAUACAACCCUGGUUAGUGAAACCAUCCAAAUUCUCAUGGAGCAAUAAUCAGAAUGCGCAGACACCACCACCUGGCUUUCUGCCUCAAGGGAAGAAAAUAAAUUUGGAAGAUGCUCUUACUCAGUUGACUAUGUCUACUACUCAAUUUAUGAUUGAAACAAAAACCCAACUUCAGAAUCAGCAAGCUUUUAUUCGGAAUUUGGAGGUGCAAUUAGACCAACUAACUAAUGUAAUGAGUGGAAGAAACCGAAGGGUAUUUCCAAGCCAAGCCAAUGUUAAUCCGAAAUAUCAAGAACAAGAAAAGGCAAUCACUCUUCGACUUGGGAAAAAAAAAUUAGAACAAGAGAAAGAAGCUGAGAAGUUUGUGGAGGAAGUAGGGCAUGAGGUCGAACCGCCACUCACCACCCCACAGCCCACUGCCAAGAAAUCCUAAGAAGAAGAAAAUUUUGUUGCCAUGUCGUCUCCUUCCCCUAAUUGAAUCCAUAUGUCCCAUAGAUCCCUUUAACAUAGAGGUUGAAGUAAAAAAAAAUUCUAAAUUCUUAGAGAUGUUCAAAAAGUUGUAGAUAUUUUCUAUGAGAGAAGAAUAUAAAGUGAUAUCCAGUGAGGAUUAGAGUCAAACUGAAAUAAUUCCAUGACAUUCAAAUGUGGUUAUUUUUAGGAUUUGAUGUUAUGAGUUUUGGUACUAGACAUUACACUAUGAUGCAAUUUACUCAUUAUGGCAUAUCUUUAGUGUUGCAAGUAUGAUUGGUGUGCAUUGGUAUUUAUUUGCUUGUUUAAAGUGGUUCCUUUAACGACUUUCUUUCGUAGUAAAAUGUUUGUGGGUAUUGUAACUGGUAAACCCCAAGGAAACAUAACUCCUCUUACUAGGAACACCUAGAGGUUUAACGGCUUGUGACACAUGCUAAGUGCCAUCAAGAUUACCUUUGAAAGUGGUUUAGUUAAUUUGUCGUUUUGUUCUUGUUUUUGUAGCCAAUUUUGCUCGAGGAUUAGCAAAAGAUAUGUUUGAGGUAGUUUGAGAUGUUUAUAUUUUACAUAUAGAAUCUAUAUGUGUUUUCUUUGUUUUCGUAUCAAAUUUGUUAGUUCUAUGAGUUUAGUGUUGAUUUUGUAGGCAAUCAUCUCUAGCAAUUAACAGUUUUCAUACUCAGAAGAUUUUAAAUAAAAAACAAAAUGAGAACAUAUGUCCUAUUUUUAUAGGAUAUGAGUAAAUCUAUUUUCUUUUAAUUAAAAAGAAAAAGCUAAAAAAAUACAAUUUUUUUUUUUUAAAAAAAAAAAAGGCAAUUGGCACACACUUAGUUUAAGAUAAAAACAGUGUUGACUUCAAAGUCAUUUUCAAAAUUAAGAACAAAUCUUUUAUCCAAGAACUAUGACAUCUGCUUAGAAGUACAACUACUAGGCGAUGUGAUUAGGAUGUGGAGUACGUAGACACACACUUUUGUAUGUGAAAGGAAAAUCAAGUCCUAAAGACUACGAAAACUUAAAAAAUUUCCUGAGGUAGUGCUCACCACGUUGAGGCAUCCAUCUUUCUUGCUCAUUGUUCUAUCUCUCUCGUAGGACUAUCAUUUUAUUACUGGUUUUGGAUUUCUAUUUAAAUGUUGCAACUAUUUAGAUUAUCUCUUUGAUAUAACCUUGUGUUUGGGUGUUGUGAAUUGUUUAAAAGGUUUGAGACCUUGUUGGUAAAAAUUUUGGUUGUGGAGAUGUUGUUAUUGCUAUUGUUGAGUUUUUGUAUAUACAUUGUGACUUUCUUACAUGUGGAGAAUUUGGGAGUUGUGCCAUUUACAAAGGUUACUUUGCCGAAUUUUCUGAAGAAGUCAAAGCCUCAUGUUGCUUCCAAACAUGGGAUUAAAGUAGCUUAAUUUUGUGGGCCCAAUACUCCUUGGGUGUUGGGCAUGCUUAGGACUCCUCGUAGGUCCCUUAGGGGGGUCCUGGCACCUCUCUUCUUUGUUUUUUCUUCUGGGUUAGUGAAUAAGUCUCUUCGAGCAUUUUGAAUAAGAAGCCACUCUGAGCCAUAUACUUAUAUCAAAUUCCCCAUAACCUCUUUUUGCCUAAUUACUCAAUAAAAUCCUUCUCUAAAAAGACUCUCUCUAAAACUUCUCAUAUUCCCUUAAUUUUGUUCUACCUUGCAUUUGAAGGAGUUUGCUGCAAUCUGCCCAAUUGUUUUUUGGCAUGAUUGUUCAAUUAACAUAUUUGUUCACUAUUAUCUAGUUAGAUUACUGGAAAUAAUGUUCUCCCCAAAAUUGUCACAGGUUUUGCACUAGCUUAAGGCUAGAUGCAGUGUUGGUAGGAAGAUAAUUAAUUUGAUUUUGUCAUGGUCAAUCUUUGUUUUUUUUAGAGAACAAUCUUUGAGCUUCUAUAGUUGUGUUUGCAGUCAUAAUUAAGAAAAAGUAGAAUUGGAACAUUAGUCUUUGUUUGUGUUUAUUUUUUUUAUUUUUUUUUUGCUUUUGAUACAAGUGAUAUUCUACCCUAAACUAUGGAGAGGGUGAUUCAAAUUUGGGUGCAGAGUGGGGAGCAUAUUCACUCAGCCAAUUUGUUUAUGUUGCUGUCUUAUUAAUAUAGAUGAUGUUUUAAUUCAAUAACUCUUGGAUUGUAUUAUAUUGUGGUCAUUUUGAUUCGCAAUUGGAUUUUAAUUUUGAGGGGGCAUUUAAGCUUAUUGAAGUGGGUUUUUGACAUUUAAAUAUAUAUAUAUAUAUAUAUAUAUUUGUAAAAAGUGACAUUUAUAACAGAGAUAUUUAGUGAUAAACUCAUUCCUAGCACUAAUAAUAUAGAUAAACCCUACAUCAUUAAAUUUGUGAUAAACCCAUUCCUAGCACUAAUAAUAUAGAUAAACCCUACAUCAUUAAUAAAUAAACCCAAAAAAAACCCAAAAAAUGACAGCUGACCCUAUUGAAUUUAAGUUUGAUUAUUAAAUUACUUUGAUACCCUAUUGAGUAUUUUGGAUUUUUUUUAAUAAGGUUUUGGGGUUGGGCUUGUUUUAAGAAAUUGAUGGUAGUUUUAUAAUUUAUAAAAAGUUAAAAGCCUCUUUUUUUGUUAUAAGUUACAAAAGAAGUAAAAAGCCUCUUUGUUAUGUUGUAAAUGAGUUUUAAGUGUAUUUCUAAAAUUCAUUUUAUAUAGGGUAUUUUAUAAUUUGAGGCCCCUAUAUUGGGUAUAAUAGUGAAUCUCCUUUUAUAAAAUGGGUGUCUAUAUUUUGUCUAUACCUCAUAAGAUGUUUCCGGCUUUUUUAACAAAACUCAUGAGGUUUCAAAAAUUACAAGAAUACCCCCUGAGGUUUCAAAUUGUUUUCACAAAACCCUUUUUUGUUGAUUGUUCAUCACAACUUGAUGAUUUCAAUUUAAUUUUUUUGUGUGCAAAUGACAAAAUCAACCUCAAUAAAUGUAUGUGCAAUCUAAUCUCAAAGGCUAACUUUGUUAUUUGGAGAAAUAUUUUACAUAUAAAGUCAUUAAUUUUUGGAUGAAAAAUUAACGAAAAGGGGUUUUGUGAAAAUAAUUUGAAACCUCAAGCGUGUUCAUAUAAUAUUUGAAACCUCAGGGGAGUUUGUGAAACAUCUGAAAACUUAAUGGCGUGUCAGUAUAAAUAACUCUAAAAAUUACUUAUUUAUUUUAUAAGAAAAAAAACUAUUUUUAUUUUACUUUCACUUUUCUUAGGGCUAGUUGUAGGUUGGCAAGAGUAUUUCUAUAUCGUAUAGGCCGGCGUCGUUUCAGCCCAGAGAGGAAGGAGGGGCAGAGCACUUGGGCCUUGCAAGUUGCAAGAAUAAUAAAAGGGGGGUCCUUUCGCUGCUCCGGUAAGUCUCCGAAAAAUCUACGAAACAUCUCCUUGCUAUCUCUUCUCCUUCUUCAUUUCCGUUCUUCUCUUUGAUUCGUGUCUUCAACGCUGUUUUGGGUUCGUCUCGAGCGGAACUGUGCCUGACGACGUCGUUUCUGUGUAAACCCUAGAAUUUCGUUUUCGUGUCUAGCUGGUGGCAAGGAAUUCUUUUUGUCGUGAAUUGCUGAAUAAAGUUGCGAAGUAUGUGCUACUAUACAAUACUAAUAGGUAAAGAGUAAGGGAUGAAUUGAUUAAUGAAAUGGAGGUACAGUACAGUGCUAUGAAAUUGGUGGGUUAUGAGUGAUGAAGGCCAUGGAGUGCACUAUCUAGUUGAUUAUCAAAUUUUAGUUUAGGAAAGGGGUUUUAUUUUUAUUUUUAAUUAUUUUUGAAUAAUUAUGUAUAUUUUUAUGUCACUGUGUUUGCAUGUAAAUAUUUAGCAAGAGAGGACGGAAUUGAGUACCAUGAUUUAUGUAACGGUUUGAAAAUGGUUGGGACAGAGCUUAUAUAGUGUAAAUAAUUGUUUAUUCUGUUGGUUGUAGUAGGUUUCUUGAUUAGGUGAAAUAAAGUAAAAAACUUAGUGAUUAUACAUACAUUUUUGGCAUUUAUUUUAUAUUUUUAACAUAAUAAUACACUUUUUGCGGCAGGGGAUGUUAAAAAUUGAGUAACUAGCAAGAUGAGUAACAACGAAGCUUUUGACGGACAGAUAUUAGCUGACAAGCUCACAAAACUCAACAGUUCACAGCAAAGCAUUGAAUGUAUCCUUCAUAAGAAAUCCCCUAUUUACUGCAUGCUUUAUCUGAUUUAUGGUGUGUGAUUAUCAAGUUUACGAGGUCUAAUACAUGUCAACAAUUGAGGGGUUGUAUUUGUUUCUCUGUGAUUGUAUUACAUACCUGAUCGUUAACGUACUUAUAAAAAUUUCUGGUAAAAGGUGACUUACUGAAACAUGUAUAUUUUUUAUUACUAGCAUCUUGCUGACUCUAAUUGAAUAUCAAUUUUACACUUUUCCCUAAUUUUAGAUUUAUGUAGAAAAUUGUAAUGUUGAAGUUUCUACCUUUCCUUUAUGAUGUUGUUUUUGGCUGUGGUAACAUUGUAUUUGUUGGUGACGCUUCAACUGUAUUUAUGCUUUCUCUGUUUUCUAUUAUGUUCAUAUUUGUUCCUGUAUAAUUUUAUUAUAAUGUAAAUAACUUCUGUGAUUGAUUUUUUUGGGAUAAAAACUUGUCUUGGUGUUAUAUAAUGUAGCAUUUUAUUAAGUUUGAUUGACUGCACUGUGAUAUGUGAUCUUUGGUGGAUAUCUUGUCCACUUUGUUUGCAUUUCCUUGAGUAGCUAUAAAAUUUGUUUCUUAUGAAGGAUAGUAUGUGUGCAUGUGUACGCCCCUCACCCUUCCCUUCCCUUAACAAAAGUCAUGUUUCUGGUUUUGACAACAUAAUAUCCGUUAUGAAUUUAAGAUUGAUGCAUUGGCGAUGUGAAUAUCUGCUAAUCGGUCAUUUUUAAGAUCUCAAUUUGUCAUAAUGAGCUUUUUAUUUUUUAUUUUUGGGUUCUUAUCCGUCAUGCAGUUAUUUAUUAAAAAAUUUCUUUUCCAUCAUGACUUCACUAAGCUAAAAUCUUGAUCCACUCCUAAUGGCUCCUUUCUUUCUUUAUCCAGAGUUGCAAACCUAUAGUGCUUUUCAUACUGGAUGUUCUAGAAAAUGUUCUAGAAAACCUUUAGUGUUCUUUCUUUGUUAAUACUUUUGGUAAACAUAUUCAACAAUAUAUUGAUUUCUUGAUAUACUGAUAAUACCUAUAGCUGUUAAUAUUUCAUCAUAAUUUGUAGAUGUAUGUAUUUGUAACUGAUCACUUAGCUCCAACAUUAAUGUUUAUAUUAUUGCUUUUCUUUAAACAUUCAAACAGCUCUGUCUCGUUGGUGUAUUUCUCACCGAAAGAAAGCAAAACAGAUUGUUGAAACAUGGGAUAAAUGUUUCAAUUCUUCCCAAAAAGACCAGCGUGUGUCUUUUCUAUAUUUGGCUAAUGACAUAUUGCAAAACAGUAGGCGAAAGGGCAGUGAAUUUGUGAAUGAAUUCUGGAAGUUCCUUCCUGCAGCUCUGAAGCAUGUUUAUGAAAAUGGUGAUGGACAUGGAAAGAAAGUUGCCACAAGACUGGUGAGCAUCUAUGAAUGUUCUCUUAAUUCAUUGUUAACACAACAGUAGUAGUAAAUAACCUGUGAGAUUAAGUUAUCAUGUUAGCUGACCUGAAACUUCAGUAUUAAGUCUUCAGUACUGGGCCUGAACAACUGAAAGAUUCUGUAUUCUUUGCCUUUUGAUUGUAGCGGGGUCUGAUACUAAGUCCUUUUUUGUUGCCCCAGCUGAUUUCACUUGCUAUGUUGCUGAGUUAGCACCUUCUAUCCAUGAAUAAAAUUCUUAGUUUGCUCCCACUGUCCUGGAAGACUAGCACCUUUUAUUCCAUGUAGUGGAAUAGAGUGAACCAGUUUAGUGUCUGCUCUUCGUUAUGAUUCCUUUUAAUAAUGUGUGCCUAGCAAUCUGGUCUCAUUACGUAAUCCAUAACGAACUUUUUUCUUUUGGAUAUUGUAUUUAUUUGUUUGCAUUUCUUUGUUCAGGUUGACAUUUGGGAAGAAAGGAAGGUUUUUGGGUCUCGAGGGCAGAGUCUUAAAGAUGAAAUGAUGGGAAAGAAUCCUCCUGCUCUACCUGUAAGCAAUGGAAAGAGUUCAAAUCCUAUCAAGAUAGUGAAGAGGGAUGCACACUCAGUUAGAAUUGUAAGCCCCUGGGGUAGUAGAUAUAGCUGGUUUAUUCUCAAUUUUCAUAAUUGUAUUCCUAAUUAUUGAGCUUGAACUUGCGUUAUUAUUCUUCUAAACCUCAGAAACUGGCUGUUGGAGGUCUGCCAGAAAAAAUACUUACCGCAUUUCAACCUGUUCUUGAAGAACAUCUUAGUGAAGAAUCUGCUUUGAACAAGUGUAGUGCCGCUGUACAUCAUGUGGGUAAAAUUGAUGAAGAUGUUGAAAAUACCUUGACUCAUGGUAAGACCUAGAACCUUUGGUUACAUUAAUUAAUGUUAUUUACAUGUAACUUUGGAGAGAAUGAUUGUCAUGGAACUAGUUGACAAAAUGUAAGACUCUUAUUAUGGUUUGAAAAUUGAAGUCUUGUUUUUUCUGACUUCAAUUAUUGAGUUUUCAUAAAGCUAUAAAAGUCAUUUGAUUACCUGAAGUAUAUUUUAUUGCGUUCUAAUGGGUGGUACUCUUGUACUGUGGAAGGAGGCACCUUCCAAUGCCCUUGGAUUUGUGUCUGUCAGGGAUUAUUCUCUUCUCUGUUGAAACUUCUCGUUGGGAAUGGGGCAAGAAUUCUUACUCUGGAAGAUACUAGGGUAUAUAUGUUCCUUAAUGAUUAUACAUUUUCUUUGAAUCAUAAUCUGGUUCUAUCCUCCUUGGAUUCAUACUUUCCUUCUUGAGCCUUGUCUUGGAACUUAAUCUUUCUGAGGAACCCAAAUGAUAGGGAGUUAAUGGGUGUCUCAAGUUUGUUAUCUCGUGCCAAUAAUAUCACUUUUAGUUCAGAAGAAUUUUUUAAGAUAGGAAGGAGUUGACUUUUAGUUGGAAUGAAUUAGAUUUCUUGGUUACUUGUGUGCGUCUUUUUUGAAGCUUUUUAAGGAUGUUGCAGUUAAGAGAAAUUCAUUCUGAUUGGUUUGAGGCUUGUAUUGAGUGUGGUUUUGCUUGUAUUGCAUCUAUAGUUGGCGCGGUCUAGGUGGACUGCUUGUCCAUCUGAUGCAUUUUCUGAUCACUUGUUUCGGCACUGCCGUAUUUCUUUAUCUUUGUGGUUAAGAUUGUUUAAGGAAACUUCACUGAGUUGGGUAGCUCUAGCAUCAUAUUAUACUCCUUUUGUGAAAGGCAUAAGUUCUUUUUGGUGGUGGAAAGAGAGGUGAAGUAUUAGGGAGAUGCCGAGUGUUGGUUGUGUUUUGGGCCUUUCCUUUGGAAAGAAAUAGGAGGAUCUUUCACAGCUUCAGGGGUCAGGAGUUUGUUUUGUUGUGGAUGUAUAUGCUUUUGGGCAUUCUUAUGACCUUCCGUCUCUUCACAAUAUUGGGAAAUUCAGUUCGUUUGCAGUAUUUUCAGAUUGGAAGGAGGAUAUUGUUUGGGAAUCAUACUGUAUAUAUUAAUUUCUUGUCUUUUGAUAUGUUUUCUUUUAAAAUUAUAUUAAGGAAGGUUAAUUUCUUAUAAAAAAAAAAGGUAUCUGAGAGACUUUAGAUUACAGAUGAAUAAUUUCUAUGGUUAUAACUUAUAUUAUAUAUAUUUUUUCAGGUUAAGGUCAGGUCAUGAUGUGAAUUCAUAUUCUGCAUUUUUCUUUGGCUGUGUACAUUUUUCUAAUUAUUGGCAAUUAGAUUUUUUCUUCCCAUUUUUUUUUUUAUAAGAGGAUCUAAAUAAGUGCCCUUACAAACCAUUAUCAUGAAAACAGGAAGACUUGAUCACAAAUUUAAUUACCGGAAGAAUGCAACUUUUCUUGUAUGCAUAAUCGUAAAGAGCUCUAAUGAAUCUCUCAAGUACCACCGAGUGAUUUAAAAACUCUCAGAUUGGCAUGAAAAGCUUUCUAUCUCUUUUUAUCACAUUAUUUCAUUCUUUAUUUCCUGAGACUAAUCCUAUCAGUUAGGGUUUAUAUGUACUAUUGGCUCACUGUUGAGAACGUUGUCCAAAUUAUUUGUUGUGUGAAUUAUUAUUUGUUCCACGAAUUGUAAUGCCAGGAGGCUCUGUCUAUUCUGCUACUCAGAUGCAAAUUAUGCAAUUUUAAUAUACUGAUAGGGGAAAAUUGAAUUGUUCCAUGACAUGUUAUUACUAUUAAGGUUGGCCUGAUUGUAGUCAUCUACCUACUGUCUAGAGCUCAAUUCUAGGAGUCAGAAUUGUUAGUUUCAAAUUGAGAAACAAUUCCUAAAACAAGUAUAGUGAGUAUCCAUUUCUAGGUAUUAGUAUGUAAGAGUAACCUUGUAAUUAGUUUGGAAUAUACUUCUCCUAGGCCCUGGAAUCUACACCUAUGCUUGUGUAUGCUUUUUUGCACUUAAAUUUUGUGAUUUAAGUGAGUGAGUGACUUUAGAACAGUUUUUUGUUAUGAUAUUAUGAUUGUGAUAUCUAAAAGUUGGUUAUUUGAUAAAUGAAGCCAUUUCAAUUUCAAAUUCAAAUCUCUAUUUUCAAAUAUUUGUUCAAUGGUCAUGGGUAGCAACUUGUAACUUGCAUUGCGAGUUGUGGAUCAUGAGUUAUAUAUCAUAAGUCAUAGCUCGCAAGCCAUGGCCCACGUGUAAUGAUCUGUAGACUGUAGGUCAUGGGCCAUGAAUCACAAAUCAUGGUUGUGGGUCAUGUGUUUUAGUUUCUAAGUUAAUUAAAUUUAUUUGAAAUCCUAAAGUCAAAAGCAUUACACUUUAAUUAAUAGAAAUAUGGAUUUAUAGAUCAAUGGAUUUGAAAUCCUGAUAUUCCAUCUGAACGGGUCCUUAAGGCCAAUGAAAUCCUCUCUUUCGACUUAUAUGGUGAUAUUUACUCUAUUUUUUUUGUACAUGCAUGUAAUAGUAAUGCAUACUGUUGAACUGUUUGAUGCAGUCAGUAAGCUUCAUAAUCUCUUGUUCUUCAUGCACCUAGAUGAGUUGCUGUUAACUUUUUUUUUUCUCCUUUAUAAUCCUUUUUUGAAAUUUAGUUUUUGAUUCCUACUAAGAAACUCUAGAUGAAAUUUGUUGAAGGUCCUCAUGUAUGUUGUCUUAGUACCAUGAUUUUUAGUGAUUUUCCUUGUUAUAAACUGUGUUAUCAGGAACUCAGCAGGGAUCUACAUUGUUGGAUGAUUUAAAAGAGCAGGAAGAUGUACUUAAUCAAUCUGUUGGUCAGCUUGAAAACGUGGAGGCAACAAGAUCUGCCUUGGUUUCGCAGCUUAAAGAAGCACUUCAGGACCAAGUAAGAUUUUUUAUUACUGUUCCACUUAUGUUCACCCUUCUGUGGUUGUGUUUAAAAUUUCAGAUAUUGAUGGUUGCUUUCUAAUAUAACUUUUACAGGAAUCAGAGCUGGAACUUGUUCGCACUCAGUUGCAAGUAAGAGUGAACUAGUCUUUACUUGCCCUUUUUAAAUUCACAAGUCUUUGCGUCUUGGAAAUGGUGUUCAUUUACAGAGCUCUUGUAAGUGCAUUUACGAGUGUUUUAUCAGUGAAUGUCAUUGAGCUCAGCUAGUUGCUCAACAUCAGUUCCUCAGAAUCUUAUGUAGCUAGCACAACUUGUGGUAUUAUCAACCCUGGGCCUUGAUUCAGUUCAUAGCGGGUUGGUUAUUUAAGACAUGUCUUUUUCUUUCUGUCUUGAACUAAAAACCAAAAAUUAUGGGUGGCUAGAUUAGAUGAUGUUUGUGGUUGGAAUAAGAAUUAAAUUGUUGGUUUUUUCGUAGGAAGAAGUUGACUUUAAAGAAGAGGACACUGGGAAACUGAAUCUUGAGUCAUAUAUGCAUUUAUACGUAGAGAAUAGAGUAUCAUAAAUUUGUAUGAACUUUAGGUCUAAUUAACAUAUGUGUUUAAAUGUGUGCAGGACUAUAUAGAUGUGAAGUCAUAUACAAUUUUUUUAUCAAUGUGGAUCUGAUUAAUCAUCAUUUUUUUUACCAAUAGUUAUAAAUUUAUAGGAGAAAUUCAUUAAUGCUCCUAAACUCCAACCCAUGUCUCAUAUUGGUUCCUAAAUUUCAAAAUGCGACACUUAACCUCCUGAUAUCAUUAGUGUGAUUAGUUGGAUCUUGAUGAAAUUUGUUAGUUUUGUCAUGGAAGUUAUCACAAAUUUUUAGGGGGCAUAAUGGCCGCACCGAGGAAGAUAACAAAAUUAAGAUGGCUUCUCCAUUUUACUACCUGGGUUGUUGACCAUCCUAGCAUUAUAAACUUCCUAAUCUUUACUACAUCCAUUUCUUUGCUUUCGUGUAAACGUUAUCCAUGAUAAAAUAUACCCCACCACCUUUGCUUUGAGUUUGUAGUGGGGAGGGGGAACAAAGUGUGAUUUGGAAGAUUGUUGCCUGGUGAAUUUCCUUUGUGUUCAAGAUUUCCUCGUCUAUUCAGACUGACUGCUGCUCCAAGUUAUAGGGUGGCUGAGCUCACAGAGGGUUGGGGUGGCCAAGUGGAUUGGAAUUUUCGAUUCUGAAGAAAUUUAUGAGGGGGAGAUUGAGGAGCUUGCAGCAUUCUUUUCAGUUAUGGAAAAUGUUCAGCUGUCAGCACAUAGGCCAGGUAGGAGGACGUGGAAACUGGAUUCAUCAGGGGUCUUCUCUUGUAAGACGUUUUUAAAUUUUCUGGCUGAUUAGAAAUCGCUUCCUGUAAUCCAACCUGCUAAACCAAUUUUGGAUAUGCGAUAUGGUACAAAGAAGAAGGUUCGCUGUUUAUCUUUCUCCCUAUUGGUGCAUUUUGUGCCAGAAAGAGGCAGAAUCUGAAACUCAUUUCUUUUUACGUUAUCCAUAUGCAUUGAGGCUGUGGUGGCGUUUAGUCAGGGAUGCAGGGGUUAAUUGGGUAAUUCUUGAGUCCCCUUCAAACAUGCUUUGGGAAAUGUAGGUAUUUUGGUGGUGGAAGGCUAGAAUUGUGUGGAAUUUCAUUGUGUUAGCUGUCUUUUGGGUAAUCUGGUUGUUGAGAAACAGAAGAAUAUUCGAGAACUAUAGUGGGUAUGUGGAAGAAAAUUGUUGGGAAAGUCAGGUUUUUGGGCCUCUUAAGGCUUCUCUUUUUGCAUCUUUUAGGGAUCCUUCAUUUUAUGUCAUUUUAUUAGAUUGGCAAGCUGCUGUAGGCCUUAGAUUGGCUAGCUGUUUAUUUGUUUUUGCUUGGUAGUCUUUAAAGCCUUUUAGUAGUAGACAAAGUUGGGUAAUCUUUUGAUUUGGAUUAUGGAUUUUCUUUAACUACUAGAAUUUUAGAAGAAUGGGUGAGGAAUAAGCAUAUAAAUUAAAUUAAAUCUUCAUUUGGAAUUUGCUAUUUCAAGUUUUAGGGAUUUUAGUUGAUGUUUUAGUUUUUUUUUAGUUUUUUAUUUAUCAAUGUGGGAGGGGGAUUCGAACGUGGGACCUCUUCCAACAUUGGGAAGAGAAGUACCUCUAGACCAUGAGCUAGUUGAUCAAUGGGGGAUUUUAGUAAAUGUUUUGAUGCAAGCGAAUAAACACGAAAUUUCAAGAAUGGUCCCAUAUUUGAAAGUUCUCUUUGUUUUGGAAAGGAAGAAUUCAGUUUCAAGCUUCUUGUGGAAUCUUCGAUGAUGACGAUUUAGGCUCAAGGACAAGUCUUUUCCAACCUGGGGAGUUUGAUGCAGGGGCAUCUACAAGGCUGCUAGAGAAUUAGGAUUAGGAUUUAUUAAAAUUCCCAAAUUAGCUAGAAUCGUAGCCUAAUAGGAUUAGGACUUUUUAAGUAGUCUUAGUAGGAAUACAAUUUAUUAGGUAUAGUAGGAUUAGGUUUUCUUAAUAAGCAAGAAAUAAGAAUGCUAGGCUGCUGUACUCUUAGUAUAAAUAGGCUCUCUUAAGAUACUCUUGUAUUCAGUUUUUAACGAAUAUAAUUCCAGAAAUCAGUCCCAUAACACACCAAUUGGGAGAAAUGAAUGGAAUUAUAUAAGAAUGGGAUAAGCUAAACUUGAGAUGCAAGCUCGCAUCUUAGAUGAUCUUUAAUCUCGCAUCUUCUUAAGUUUACAUUUGGACCUGUCCAUGGACAAUGCUUUCCUCACUACAAUAUAAGAUUUCCUUUUUUCUUUUUGGCCUUUCUAGACAAUCCUGACCAAGUAGACAAGAAAAGAAUGUGAAGGUUCUGAAGGUUUAUGUUGAUGAUGUAGAUUGUAAACAACCUAGUUUGCAGGGAUGAUUGAGCUAAUUUAGGUAAGUCGGUUGAUUGAUUUGGAUGAUUUCUAGCAAUUUUUCAUUGACUCUUUUAUCCCUAUUUGUAUGGAGGCUAUAUACGACCAUCUAUAUUCCUCAGUUGAAUCAAUGAAAAAUAAGAUCUUGUUCCCGUUUCAUAGUUCACCUUUCAGCAUGGAAUCCGAUAAAUAUAAUCCUUAGAGCUAAAGAAGCAUCUACCUGUACCUACUUUCUCACAAAAUAAGAAAAGGGGAAAAAGAAAUAUGGAUAAGGUCUCUCUUACUUCUCUGUCAUGGGUUCCAUUAAAUCUUCUGGCUCGGAUAUUGUCUCAAUCUGGUCUCAUUUGGAUAUAGUAUUCGAUCUCACAAUCUUGCUUGGACCUCAUCUGACUUUGAUCUCAUUUCAUUUCUGCUCUUGCCUGGACCUCAUAUUGGUUCUUGUCUUGCUCAGAUCUAGUCUUGGUUCUUGCCUAGCUUUACUUAGGGACCUGCGGUGGCUAAAGUGGCAGAAAGGACAGCCUCUUCUUCGUUUCUUUGGCUAGCUAUAAACAAUACAAAACUGAAGAAUCUUAACCUCAUUUGGCCCAAGCUGUCAAAGUUUUUGUGGAAGAUGGUAGACUUGUUAGUGAUUUUAUUUGCAGUAAGCUGGGGGUAGUUGAUAUCCUCUCUCCAGCUUGAGGGGAUCAGUAAUGUUGGCUGUAAACAGCCUUAUGUGUAGGGAUGGUUUAGCUAAUUUAAUUGCUUUGAUUGAGCUCAUUUGGAUGAUUUCUGGGGUUGAUUUCUAAGAAAUUUUCUUCUUCGAACUUUUAAUUUAUGGAAGCCGUAGGCUGUGCGUAUUACUAAGUUGAAUCAAUCAGAAAUAUGAUCCUCUUCGUCUUUCUUACUUUUCCUUUUAGCAGUUUAAAAUAUUAUUAAAUUAAAGUGGACGAUUCAUGCUAAAGUCCUCACGGAUGAUACUAGAAUGACAGAAAUGUUUGCUGGAGCCCUAUCAAUGUUCCAAUAUUCCUUUUUCUCCAGUCGCAACAAGUAGUGCCAUUGCCUGUCUUCCAAAUUCUCCAUGAAAUAGUGACACUGAAUUAGGUAGCUCCCGUUUUAACUCCAAAUAGCAAGUAGAAAGUUCCAAAGUUCCUACGAGACGGACGAGGCAACAAUAAUAAGUUGAUUACUCUCAUGCCCCAACAUCAGUUCACAGUAAUAUGUCCUCUCCUGGUUAAAUUUUCUAGUUUUUAAGUUAUAACUGUCAGCUAUACCUUUUAUAGGGACCUUUCGUUUUUGUUUUUACACUGACGUAGUCAUUUCUUUUUUUCAAGCUAUAAAUCUACUGUAGGUUUGAAUAUCUGUUAAGAGCCAUAACAAUUUCCAUGAGAGACGACGUCUGUCUAUGUAUGAUAUAAGUUCAGGACAGAGCAUACCAAAUAAUAUCUUAUAAUGCAAUUCCCUUGGCAUUUCCCAUCACAUCAAACAUGCGAACAUGCAAGUAUAUAUGUGUACCUCUAACAACUUAAGUUUUAGGAACAGUAAUAAGUCAAUAAAUUUCAUCAAGGUAUCAAAGCAAGAUAUCCAAGUUUGAAUUAUUAGUGUAACUCAUUGGAAUUGACAAAGGUAGGCAACCCUCCACCAAUUGCAUAUUUGCUGCUUUGCACUUUAGGAGCCAGGCUAGAUGGCAUGUAUAUCAUCCUCAUUCUACAUACAGUAAAUGCCAUAUUCUUUUGUUUGUAGUUGAGCUUAUGCUACUUUUUCAAAUUUUGCAUUGUGAAAACUAUAAUAAUAUACUGGCUACUUGGAUUAACAGGAAUUAUUUAUUGUCAUGCAGGUUGCUCGACAUCAGAUUGAGAAACUGGGUAAUAUUAAAAGGAGACUGACUUUGUCCCCGGUUGUUAACCCCCAAAGCAAUGUCACUAACAUGACAACUGAAUCUACAAGGGUGUUAGAACCAAAUUUAUCAUUAGUGCAGCCAACUGGCAUCCCACCUCAGCCUCCAACCCAACCUGUGAUUUCUUUUGCCUCUGUCAAAACUACUGAUGAAGAGAACAAAAAGGCAGCAGCUGCUGCUGUUGCUGCUAAGCUAGCUGCAUCUACAUCUUCUGCCCAGAUGUUGACCUCUGUUCUUUCAUCCCUUGUUGCUGAAGAAGCUGCCUCAAUGACUGGUAGCCUAACGUCAGCUGCAUUUACUUCAGGGUUAUCCAUGUUUCCUCCAGAAAAACGGCCCAAGCUUGAGAAGCAAAUGUCUGCAUCUGAACUUAACAAUCUUGAUGUUGGCAAUACAGCCUAUUUUACUCCUCUACAACAGCAGACAAUGACCAAUGUUCCACAUGCACCACCGGCAACCAUGCAGCCUUUGUCCCAAACUAACCAGAUGCAAAAUACUUUUGGUCCACCGCCCCCGCCACCUCCAGCACCAUCAGCAUCUCCUGCAACUCCACCAGCGAAUCAAUAUGCCCAAUCUGCUGGUCUCAUGGUGGGUGUAAUGCCUUACGGAUAUGGAUCAAAUACUCUGCCACCUCCACCCCCCAUACCUCCACAUAUUUCAAUGGGUUUGUCGAGGCCAGGUCAGCCGCAACAGCAGCAGCAGCAGCAACAGCAGCAACAUCAGCCUCAGCCUCAGCAGCAGCAGCAACAGCAGCUGCAGCCAGCUACUGGAGGUUAUUAUCGACCGCUGGGUAUGGGAUUCUAUGGGCAAAGUAAUCAGUCAAAUACACAGCCAGUACCUCGACAGUGAGUUCCUACUUAUUUUACCAAGCCAGAAUUUCCUAUACUGGAUUGUGAACAAAAUCAGCCAAGGUGCCCAUAACUUUUGGUGACAAAUUCAUCUUGGAAAUCAAUGGAGCCAGUGGAAUUUCUCAGAGGCAUUGUGUUAUUAUGUAAAUUAGUAGAGAAUAGUGUCUUCUAAACAUCUAGGUCCACCUCCCCAUGCCAGUUUAAGCAGUCAGUCUCCUUUAAUGUAUGUCUAGUAGAAAGGAAGUUUCUCGGUAGCUAUAUUUUAAUUUGACGUGAAGUGCCUAACUUGAAUGUACCUGUGCAAACUUGAUUGGCGCUGUAAACAGAGUUUGGGGCAUCACUAAAUGUGUACUUUAAUGUUGGAUAUGGCAUGCCUAGCUAGUCUCUACUCUCUUUGGCCAUUUGGAGAUCAUUUUGUUGAAUCGAGUGGGACAAUGUGGCUGUGGCUUUGUUGGUCAGAAUGUGGAUUAUAAUACUAGUUAAGCAAUAUAAUUAACCAUAUGCGUAAAAUUUUCAACGGAUUUUUAGCUUCAGAAGUCUUCAUAAGAGCAAGCCCGUAAAGCUUUGCUUGGAAUAAUGUCUCGACUUGACUCGUGCAUUUUAUUUUGUGAUAGUGAUAUUUUUUAUCUCCCAAAUACACAUAAAUAAAUAUCUCAAUGUUUGUCUUUUUUAAUACAAGCGAUAGUUGAGACUAUUGGUCUAUCAAUACGUAUUGGGGUUCGAAUUUGAGACCAUUGGUCUAUUAAUGUCUUUUUCCACUAAGAUACACCUCGUUCACUCUCCACACCUACUAUUGGAAUGCUUGGUAACGACUUGAGUGAUGUGUUACUAACGUCAUGUGGGUGGGUGGUCGGAGGACAUGAGCUAGCGCAGAUGACAAAAGCAGCGAUUUGUUUGUCUCAUGGGUGCGUGGGAUGCGUUUUGACGAAAUUAGCCAGUGCAGUGGUCUGUGAAGGUUAAAUCACACUUGUGUUAAGCAAGCAGAGUAGUCAAGCCAGAGGCAAAAAAUACGCAAGAAGCGGUUUUCGUUGGAUCGACGGAAUCACGUCAUAAUUUUUAAUAUUAACUUUAAUUGAACAACACGAAUCAAAUUAUUAUGUUGAUUAAGAAAUUUAAGACGAAAUUGAUUGAUUUGAGAGUUAAAUGCCGAAAAUGAUGCCUUAUAUAAAUAUCUUGGUUAGCAAGUCGUAGCUGUUAGGUGAGUAAGCGUUGCCCUCUUUUAAUUUCUAAAUUAUUAUUUUUCGGUGACAUCUAAAUUCUAAAUCCUUAACCCAAAAAAAAAAAAAACAAAGUGCGGGGCACGUUAUUGACACGUCACCUCGGCGGUGUUCGCAUUGAAUUGGGGUCAAACUCAGGAUUGAGAAAGUCACGUUGAGCAAUAGCGACACUGAUCUGACGAAACAAAUAAAAGGAAAACGCAGACAGAUGGAGAAACCAUAGAUUUAUACUGUUCACCUUAUUUGUUUGCUUAAUACCAUUUAGAGAAACGGAAAAGUUGAGAGCUUAUCGAUUGUUUAGCAAAGAAUCAACAACAGAAAGCUCUUUCCGUUUGGGAUCCCUUGCCAAACCUAAAGGUAACGUAAAGUAAGCCAACAAGCCUCUGUCUUCUCCUUCUUCUGCUUCGUUUUUCUUUUUGGUAUUUCAUCGUUUAUUUUUCCAUUGUCUCUGAAUUGGCAUAUGACACAAACCCCUGUUGUAUUUCGAACUAAAUCCCAGUUAUUUCAGUCUUAGGGUUUAUGGGUUUGAAAUAUUUGGAUGUAUCACAGUAACUUGGACAUUUUGUGCAUUAGUUAAGUAGUGCGAAUUUUAGUUGUUUUAAGUAUGUACUAAUACUAAGUUAAGUGGUAUAUGAAUAUGGGUUAUACGUUUAUGGGUAUGAUUUGGCUUUGAAUUUGGUGGCAAGCUGUUGCUUUAAUGGAAAUGUGGAGAGAUUCUGUCAUUGGGUUGUUUGCAAGAAUACUUGAGGAUACUGCAUUUGGCUCAUAACAAUGCUCUUGAUGAAAUUAUUUCUUUGAAAAUUCAGGCUGAUAUGGGAAGCGUCAUGGCUUCAAGAACUUUGCGGAAAAGGCUUCAUCAUGGGGAUGUUGAUGGGAAAAAGAAUGAGCAUUUAGAGACAUCAGGGUCAGAUGAUCUUAAUGAGCCUCUACUGGGGAAUUAUUAUUCAGAUACGCAUGCUGAGGUGGGGAUUUUAAUUGUUCAUUUACAUGGAGAGUGGGGAUUUAUUCUGUUACCAACUUUCUUUGGCCCUUUGUGGUUGAUAUCUUUCUUGGAUUUACCACAGGGAUCCUCACUUGAAGAGACGUGCGAUGAUGAACGGAGAAAGGAACACCUCCAUUGGACCCUUCUGUUUUCUCAGUUGAUUGCACAGUGGGCACGGUGGUUAGGUAAUCAUAAUUUUGGUGUCAAAAAAACUUUUACUGUUUUACUUGAAAGGUUCUUUCAACUUUGUUAAUAAGACGCCAGGCAUUAUAUAGCUAGAAUUUUAAAACAUGAUCUAACUAAAUAAACUGAAACUGUUAAGUUUAUUUCAUUUUUGACCUGAUUAUGGAGUCAUUCUCAGAAAGGUACCCACUUGAUAACUAAACCAUUUGAUUAAGUGAAUAUUAUCCCUGAUCAGUUGUUCCAGUGCUUCAUCGAACUUCAAAUGUUAAGUUACUGAAUUGUCUCUAGAGAGUGGCAAUUUUCAUUGGACGAGGUAAAGAACCAUGAGGAGUAUUCAACAUUCUAUUGGAGAGUUCAAUUUAGUUAAAAAUAAUAUGAAACAGCCUAUGGUAGCAGAUAUUUAGCUUGUUUGUACGUACUUUUAGAAAGGUUAAAUGAAACACUUCUAGAUGACCAAGAGUGCUUUUGGUAACAUUUGGAAGUAAUAGGUAAAGUUCUUUCUAGGUUUUAAAAGAACUUCUGAGUGAUUGCCCAUUAAGCAAUUGAAUUUUUAAUAAAUUUUUUGUUGUGCUUCUAAGGCCCCGUUUGGGAUUGCUUUUUUUCGUUAAAAACCAACUUCACUUUAAAGUUGAGCAACUUAAGGUGUUUGGAAAAAUAAAAUAUCCUAAUUAUUUUAAAAACAAUGGCCUUUUGAUAGCAGCUUUUAAAAGCAUGCUCCUUUUAAUUAAUUUUUUUAAUUCCCAAAAUACUAUCAUUAAUUUUUUAAAAUGACACCACCUCCACCACCACCGCCACCACUACUACCACAACCACCACCUCCACCUUCAUCACCACCACCACCUUCACCACCAUCUCUUUCACCACCACCACCACCACCACUAUCACCACUUGGUUAGUGCAUAACACUUUGAACAUCAUGUUUAUUUUAGUCAUUAUUCACAAUUACAACAGUUUAAUAUUAAAAUUUACCAAACAAUUUUGACAUUGCUUUUUGUACUAACAACACUUUAAAAUUAUUGUUUACCAAACAUGGAGAUGCUUUACUUUACAGAUAAUUAUUUUCAAAGCACAGCAAAAACAACUUUUUUAAAAAGUGACAGCAAUCCCAAAUUGGCCCUAACAAAAGUGCUUUCAACAAAAGCGCUUAUGACCAUAAGUACUCCCAAAUAGGCUCUUGCUCUUUUGCAUUUAUCUGAUCACUGUUCAUUCUUUGUAAUUUAUUUAUUUUCUUUAAACAUUCAAAAUGUAUUGUUAUUUUUGUAAUUAUAUAUUUCCAUAUUUUUCUUUGUAGCAAAUAUUGUUCUUGGAUCGGGAUCGCUUAUUGGGCGGCUUUUGACCUUCCCUUCAACUACACAAAAUGGACAAAGAACUAAGUUGCGUGCACCACCCCUUAGUCCUCUGCAAGUAUGUCCAAUAAAUGAUCUGAUCUUUAUCUCCAAGGAGUAUAUAUUUUCCUUAGAUCCUAAAUGCAUGAAAAGUUUAAGAUGAAGCCUCACAUUUCAAUUAUUUAAUACUAUCUUAUGAAAUGUGUUUGUCUUUAUGAUGUGUUUUUGCUGUUGGUGGAUUAAUUAUGAAUUUGUUCCAUUUUUUUAAUCAACCUGUCUAUAAUAUAGCAUUUAAAUGUGAGAGAGUACGCUAAUUCUUGAUAUUAUGAACAUUAAUCUUUUUUAUAUUUAUUUCAAUGGAAGUUUGUGUAAUGGAAUAUUUGGUCUUUCAGGCACUUAAACACAACUGCUUACUCUUAGGCGUCAUUUGAAGUGGAUAUUCGUACUUCAUCUUUUCUUUAUCUUUUUUUUUUUUUGGCAUACAUUGUGCUUUUAUCGUUUGAAGUGUUCAAUUUUCAAAAAAAUUGUGUAAUUUGUAUCACUAAUAUAAUUUUAGUUCUAUAUCCUAUAUCUUAAAUUUUCAGGAAUGGUAAUAAACCAAGAAAAUGUAACAUGGUAUCAAGAAGGGGAGAUUUUGAGUUCGAAUCCCUGCAAUUGCUCUCUUAAUUUAUUUCGUAGUUUAUUUGUUGGGCUCGUUUAAUUGUUAUCUCAUAUACUAACCGCUUAAGCUUUCUGCAGCAAUAUAUAUUGCAUAAUGUAGAUUUGUAUAUAUUGAAUACGUGGUUCACUUGCUGCUGGUACUUAUGUCCUGUAGGAAGCAAGACUCAGAAAGCUGCGACAAAGGCUUGAAGUACCCUUUGAUGGCUCUCGUGUGGAGCAUCAAGUAGGUCUUUUAUCCAUUUGACGUCAUUUUGGUCAUUUCUCUAUUGGUUUUACUAGUACUACUAUAUCAAACAUAAAGAUGUGGAUAAUGAUAAUAAUAAAAAUAAUAAUAAGAUCUGGAUAAUGAUAAUAAUAACAAUAAUAAUUGCUUUUGUUUUUUUUAGUAUUAUCAUUUUUUUUUUAUUGCAGUCAAUGUUUGUAUGUUAUUUCAUUGUUUAUGAUUAUUUGGUUGGAGCGUUAAUGCUCAAAAGUGCCUAAAAAUAUCCUCAUUGUUGAGAAAAAUUAACUGUUUACAGUUACAACAGAGUGAGCAAUGUAAGUUGAAGAGUAAUAAGGAAAAAGACAAAAUUUAUAUAUAUUGUAAUAAAGCAAAGUACUGGUUUAUUGUACUGUUGUGGGUGUGGGCGGACUAGUAUAUUUUAUUGUCCCAGUAAUUUUUAACAAUAGAAGGGUUGUCUGUAUUUUCAGAAAACCUUGAAGUAAUUUUUUGGUUUUAUCUCCAGUUUACUCAAAAUGAAAACCUCGAAGUAAUUACUUUAGUUUUUAAUUGCAGGAUGCACUUUUACAGUUAUGGAGGUUGGCUUAUCCGGAUAAGGAGCUCCCACCUCUUAAAUCAGAGCUUUGGAAACAGAUGGGAUGGCAAGGUUCAGACCCUUCAACAGACUUUAGGUACGUACAUAAAACAAAAUGAAAGUAUCCUUAAGUGAGUCACAUAUAUUUGGUUUUGUUUUUUCAUAUAUCUUUUCUGAAUAAAUUGAUAUGAUAACGAUAAAUUUCCAACCUUAUUUGUAGAGGCGGGGGAUUUAUAUCAUUGGAGAAUCUUAUAUUCUUCGCACAACAGUAUCCGGUUUGUCUCUUUCUGACUUAAUGUCUUUUUCAAUUAUAAAAAGUUCUAUUUCAUGUUUGCAACAUAGAUCUCACUACUAGAUCAUAAAAACUUGUAUGUCCUUGAUAUGUUUCGCUGUUGCUUCUAGCAGUAUCUUUUUCUGUUUAAUUUAUUAAAGCUCGGACCAUCCAGUUUCUUUGGCCUUUUACUGUUCUGGUCACUUAUGUGAUUUCAUUUGUCCUAGUUUAAAACCGGUCUUUUGACUUACAAUGAACAUAUAUUACUGCAUAAAUGGACUUCCAUGGCAAGACUAGUGUACCGCCUCCUCUUCCUUUGAGUUGGGAUUUCGGGUUUCAUAGUUACGUAAUCAUUUUAUUCUGUGUUUCCACAAAAUUCGUGAAAGGGUUAAUGAGUUUCUGAUUUUAUCCUCUUACAGGAAUCAUUCCAAAGAUUGUUGCACAAACAAGAUGGAACUAGAGCUGAGUGGGAAUAUCCCUUUGCUGUAGCUGGUAUCAAUAUUUCUUUUGUCUUGGCACAAAUGUUGGAUCUUCAAUCAGGUAUAAUAAAAUUUCAAAUUAGUGGAUAUUCCUUCAAUGUAGUACGACAAUGGUUGAUGAGGAAAUGUCAGAUAACUAUUUGAUGACAAAGAACCACAUCUUUGUAUGUUUAUUUGAUGACUCGUAACUUAUUUUCCACUAAUCCGUUUUCUCAAGAGUUUACUUUUUUUUUUUUUUUUUUUCCUUCAUCAUAUUCUGAAUGCUGAUGCUUUGUUUAUAAAGAAUAAUUGGUCAUAUCUUUCUUGCAGCAGAGCCAGCUAGUUUGGCAGGCACCCGUUUUCUCGAACUGCUUCAAGAAGAUGAAAUGGCAUUUGAUAACCUUUAUUGUGUAGCCUUCCAGAUGAUGGAUGCUCAAUGGCUUGCAAAACGUGCUUCCUAUAUGGAGUUCAAUGUAAAUGGUUCUGUCAUAUGCUUUGCUAAAUUAAGAUGCACGCUUAUAUUAUCCUUCCUGCUCAUGUCUUACUGUCUACCCCUUUUUUUCAGGAUGUUCUGAAGUCUACAAGAAGUCAGCUAGAGCGUGAGCUUGCACUUGAAGAUGUCUCAAGUGUAAAAGAUUUGCCAGCAUACAAUAUGUUGAGAAGAUGAUCUCUUAUUCUCUUUUGGUUUUUUUAUUUUUUCAGUUCUCAUUCCUGUAAUUCUUCUUACGUUCUCACCAUCUGUAAUAUCAUAGAAGAAAUUCUAUCUUCAAAAUCCAGUAGUAACAUAUUUAAUUCAUUGAUCCAAGCGCCUUAUCAUCUUUUAUUUUCGUCGCAUCUUUCAUUGGGAUUCCUUGGUCAAUGUCCUUAUAUUCUCACACUAAGAAACGUAGGAUAAGGUUUCUCAGGAACAGUAGGACAAUUAGGGAAUGUUAAGGUGAACGGAGAAGGUGUGGGGCUUUAUUUAUUAUUAGUAUUUUUAUUUUUAUUUUUUAUACAGGCUCUGUGAGAUGGAAAGCUUGUUGAAUCUGUUGCAUCUUUACCAUGAAUUGGAUCCUAAAGCAUGUUCCUUUUUCUCAUCCAAAAGGGAAAAGAGAAACAAACAUUUUCUUGUGUUUUUUCAGAACAAAUAAUAAAAUAUUGUUUGCCCUUUUUUAGAUCAAGAAGAUAGAUUGCAUUUAUAACUCAGGCACAAAGGUUAUCAGCUAUAAGAGCUACUACAAAUACAAAUUUACACAAGGUUAUUACAAAUAUGAAAGUGCACUAACAAAAAGAGGGCAAAAAGUCACUUUUGGUCCCUGUGGUUUAUCACUUUUACCACUAAGGCUCUUGUGGUUUCAAUUUGAACAUUUUCGUCCUUGUGGGUUCAAUUUGAAGCAAUUUAAGGAUAAUCCUCAAUUUCUGUCAAAUUUUUUUAACUUAUGUUACUUGUGGACGGCUAAUUUAGUCAACAAAUUAUUUUUUUAAAAAUCAAUUCUUCUAAAAUUAAAAGGGAAAUAGUUCUAAAUGCCACCCUUUUUAUAAUUUUAACUGAAAAUACCACCUCUCCUCAAAAAUUUUGCAAUUAUCACCUAUAAAUAUAUAUUUAUUGUCCACUUAUUGCGCACAUAUCACUUUUGCUGAAAUUUUGUUCUCUCUCUGUCGCUCAACUCUUUUGUCUCCAUUGCUCAGGUCUCACUCUCUCUUCGGUCAGCACUCACUCUUUCUUCUCUCUUUCAUUAUCGCGGGAAGCUCUUGGCCUCUCUUGCGCAACUCUCUCUUGUGUAGCUCUCUCUCUCUCUCUCUCUCUCUCUCUCUCUCUCUCUGACGCAGUGGUCUUCCUCUUCCAUCAUUCACCUGCAAAAGGUACUAUUCGUCGUCAAUUUGAAUUGGUUUAGGGGUUUCUCUGAAGUUGGUUUAGGGUUUAUGGGUUUCUAUGAAAUUGGUUUAGGGGUUUCUUUGAAAUUGGUUUAGGGUUUAGGAGUAUCUCUGAAAUUGGAUUAGAGGUUUCUCUGAAAUUGGUUUAGGGUUUAGAGGUUUGUCUGAAAUUGGUUUAGGGUUGAGGGGUUCCUUUGAAAUUGUCUGAAACUUAUGAUUCCUUGUUUGAAACAUUGAAUGGGUUUGUUCUUUGUGGAUUGAUUCUUGCGUUUGAUUUGAGAUUCUGUUGUUUUGUUGUUGUUAUUGAUGUUUUAUUGAUGUUUUAGUGUUGUUUUUUGCUAUCGUAUUGCCAAUUUAGUGGUUUUGUAUUGGCAUUUUAGUGCUGUUGUAUUGCUAGUUUAUUAUGGUUUUAUUCUCGUUCCAUUAUGAUUUUAAUUGUUUUGGCGAUUUUUGCAAUUGAAGUAUGUGUUUCCUGUUGUUGUUUUUUUUUUUUCAUCCAAAGAAAGGAAAUUGUAGGUGUCAUUUAUAGUCUCUACAUUACCUGUUUUGUGGCAUCCACUUGGGAAUUCACUUAUCACUUAUCACUUGGGAAUUCACUCUGCUCCUUAAUUAUUUCAGGAAAUUCUUUAUAUGAAUAUGCACACAUGGAAGCUAUGCUGGAGGUGCUUUAUAUGGUGAUCCAUAAUGUUGGUGGCGGUGGCUAAUUGCCUUACAUGGCACAUGAACUGUUUCCAUUUUGUAGACAUGGCAAAUCAAUUGUACUCAAUUUGAAGUAGGAAUAUGCAUCAAUUUUAAUUUUGUCAAACCAAAUUUGGUAGUACGUGUAAUGAAUACCAGUACGGAUGUAUUUGUCAUUCGGUUUUCAAAUUGGGCUUUUGUUUUCGAGUUGCCGUCGUGGUUAGCAUACUUAUUCUGUACAUUGUGAAGUUGAACUAUUUUGUACAGCUCGAUAUAUAAACAUACUUGCUCUUUAUGGAGGUAUAAUAGUUUACUUGUUUGAAACGUUGUGUUUGUUUCUACUGAAUUAUGCUCAUUUUUGUAUCCUUUUUUUACAUUUGGUCCUUGUGGUUUUCUUCAUUUUUCUGUGGUGAAUCCAACCAUGUACAGAACACAAAAUUUGCAUAAUCGGUUAAAAGUUAAAGGUCAAAAAAUGGACAUUUGUCAAAACUGAAAAACAGAGGAAGUGCAUAAUUUGUUUAUGCCUAAAAUGCGAUAAACUGGUGCUACCAUGGUGAUAUAGUGGGGAUACAGUGGCAAUAAAAGGGUGCUAGAAAUUGUUGUUUGUGUUUAUUUUGGGUUACUUGUUUUGUUUCAUUUCAUUCAUUUUUUUUACUCAUUACUAGUUUAUAAUUGAAUGAUUAGGACAUUAAUUUGUGUCAAUUAUUAAUACAACAAUUACAUAUAUGAAGAAUAAGACGAACAACAUAUCAUAUCACCAAACAUAAUCACACCACCAAAUAUAAUCAUGCUUUUCUCCAACCCAUCACCAAGCAUUUGCAUAUUUAUUCAUAACAUCCUUUUUUUGUAAAUAAUUUUUGUAAAAAAAUUAACAUCAUCAUCGUCCUCAAUCUAUAUGUGCUUCCACUCAUUCGAGGCCACCAAAACUGAGAACUUUAAGCAAACAUUGUCUUCCCUACAGUUUGUAUUACCAAUCUAAUGCACACGAUCCAACAGUUCAGUAAAUGUGAUGGUCCGUGGAACUAUUAAGCCUUUUGAGUCACCUGUUUCAUACUUGCACAUCUUCUUUGGGGUUACCCAUUUUCCAUUGUAGCAAACCAGAAUAACAAUUGUCUCCAUUUUUUACCAUGACAAAACAACAUUUCAUUAACACAAUACAACCACAAUAAUCAGGCAAUACAAUGGCAAUAGAAUGACAAUAUAACAGCAACAUAACAACAAUAUGACAACAAAUAACGGAACGCAACAGCAAUACAAUACUAACACAGCAGUGAACAAGGAUUCAUCACAAUCACACUAUACAAAUCUACUACAUCAAAUGGAAAAUCCCAAGUUUCAAGAUUCACAUAUCCAGAGCAAUCUAAAUGCAAUUGGUAAAAACCCAGAUGGAUAAGCAUGAAGAUUCAAAAAACCUAACCUAAAGCAAUUAAAGCCAAAACCAAUUUAACAAGCAAUCAAAAUAAAACCAAUUUCACAGAAUCCCAUAUAUAUUAAGAAAAUAACCAUCAACACUACCUAUUCGAGGUCAGCGAUCCAGUAGAGCUUCAAGGUUACAAGUAGCUAUUGAGAAGACAUACCUAAAAGAUGGGGUCGAGUUCACGAUUCAGAAGAGAGAGCGAGAGAGAGCUGCACAAGAGAGCGAAUAGGGAGAGAGAGAGAGAGAGAGAGAGAGAGAGAGAGAGAGAGAGCAAGCGAACACAGAGAGAGCGAAUAGGGAGUUGAGCGAGUUGAGAGAGAACAAAAUUUCAGCAAAUGUGAUAUGUGUGCAAUAAGUGGACAAUACAUAUAUAUUUAUAGGUGAUAGUUGCAAAAAAAUUGGGGAGGGGUGGUAUUUUCAGUUAAAAUUAUAAAAAAGGUGGCAUUUAGAGUUAUUUCCCAAAAAUAAACAAUACAAAAUGGAAAAAUCAAUUAUUUGAAACCACAGGGACCUUAAAGGUAAAAAUGAUAAACCAAAUGAACUAAAAGUGACUUUUUGUCAUUUUUUUAAGGUUUCUGGGGGCUUUUAUUGUGCUUCUAAUCCUUUGCUUUUUAAUGGGAAAAAGUGGGCGAAUGGGUCUGUUGGGUUUAGCUUGGAUUCGUCAAUUGUGUAAUAAUGCUUUUUUGGUAGAAGUCUAUGCACUGUCUCCCACCCAUCAUCAGCCGUGUCUCUCCUCCCACCUAAACCACCACCACUCCACCCAAAUCAAUACUAUAGCUACCACCAUUUCAAGAAGACUUCCCUCACCACUCAACCCAAAAUAAUGAGUUAGCCUUGUCAAGGAUUCACACGCUUAUUAAUAUAUUGUUUUUAAUUUUUUUUAAAAAUUAUGAACAUUCUUCUAAACUUGAUAUGUUAUUGGACGCACUUAUGUUGUUAAGAAAAAUUCAGUAAUAAAAAUGUUUAUUUUCUAUACAAGCGAUUGGAGGAGGGGAGUUUACACAGAUAUUUAUUAGCUGUCUGGGGGUUGCGAAUCUCUACCCACGUCAGUUGAGGUGGAAGAGCUCAACUAAUUGAGCUAUACCCCACUGGUGGUGGGAAAAAAAAUUAGCUGAAGGGAAAAAUAGUACAUUGUGCAUGUGUCCUGUAUGUAUAAAAUUUUUGUAUACUGCCCCUGAUAACAACACACUUAAAUUCUUUAGUCACAUCAACACAAAUAUAUUGAUAUCACAUCUUUCUUUUGUGGAGUGAGUUAUCUAAUGCGUGUGUAGAAUGAAGGGAAUAUUGUGGGAAUGAUGUUGUGUAGAGAUUUCUAAAAACUCUACAACCAAUCUUUGAGAGUAUAAAUCACCUAGCAAGCCAUAUCUAUAAUAUGAAAUCAAAGUAAGAGCGGAAGUAUUAAAUAAACUAGGGAUUCAUGCAAGUCUCAUUUGGUCCCAAUAUUUAUAAGUCUAUUAAAGUGUGCACCAAAGACUCUCUAAAUCCUAUUUGAGAGAAAGAUAAGAUGUUCAUACCCUUGGAGGAAUCUUGAAACCAAGAAUGGUGUUCAAGUAGAGGGAGUGGUCCCUUUGUUGUUGGCUCUCCCUUUGAUGUUGAUUUUGCACCUUGUAGCUCUUCAAAUAGGUACAAAGAUAUGCACAUCCUCAAAGCUCUCCACCAAGGAUUGAAUGGGAUGAGAGAAUGAGUAGACAACAAGUGAAGAGUGUGUUCACCCGUUUUAUGUUUGUUCCUGUGAUGGUAGGGUAAAGUUCCCUAUUGUCUUGAGAACCAUUGACUGGUCAACAAGUCAACUUUCUUUAGUGUGCGAGCGUGCCACUGCUAGCAAUGAAAAAUCCUAGCAGACUUCUUUAAAAAUAGAUAACUUGCGCCCAAGUUACUAAUUUCUAAACAAGCGAUUGUGAAUUUGGGUGAGGAAUAUCUCCCAAGUAAGUUCUUUUCUUGCCUCAGACUAUGGCGGUUCUGACUAGAAUAAAUGAUAAGAUAACAAACUAUUUUAGGCAGAAGUGCCUUUUACAAAACUCAAAAAGGAAAAAUCAACUCUAGAAAGACAAAAAGAGGGCUGGACUUCCAUUUCUGCCUGGAUAGGUGCUUUUGGUCCGGGCUGGACUGGGUGCGCCUCUGCUGGACUGGACUAUCAACACCUUCAACUGUCAAGUUUCAGCUGUAAAUCGAUACCAACGUUCGAGUUUGGCAGAGCUUCAAUCUAUUUCAAGCCCUGGAAGGCUUUUUGAACAUGCAUAAUUGGGACUUCUUCAGUUUGGAAGGGGCAGAAGUGGCUGGACUUGAUCACUGAGCUGGAACUGCACUGUGGUACCUGUUCUACUUGAUCAGGGCUCUCCAUAAAUUUGUUGAGGUUUUCAUAGUUGUAAAAAUUCGAACUCUGCUUGAUUUAGCUUAUGCUGAACCAAAUUUGUGACGAGAGAAAUCUCGUUUUGAAUGACUUAUUCUUCUAAGUCUGAACUGAAGUUGGAGAUUUUGAUUUGUAGCUGGCUUUUUUCUCGUGGCUCAAUGAGCUUUUGGUUGCUUCAGUUUGUUUGAAGGCUUUUGAGAUCAAGUGAUCAUUUGAGUUUUGUCUUUGAUUGAUUUUUUUGGCUGUCCUUUGAUCUGUUCACCUCCUCUCAUAUUUAUAGGAAAUGCUGGAGUGGGUAUUUUAAUCUUUAAAAUAGGCAGCAGAUUUUCUAAAAAACGAGAUCUUUUCUUUUCAAAGCCAUAAAAGAAGGAAGUUAUUGUUUUGGCAGAUACGAACUAUCAGCAAUAAGCUUUCAUAGAGGUCUUUUCCUUACUUUUCUGAAAGAAAACCAACUUUCUUUGUUCUCUUUUUGUUCCUUGUAAAGAGAAAAACUCAAUCUGCCAUAAUGGUCAGUUUGCUUUCCUAUUUUGAACAACUCCCCUUGCACCCUACUUAUCUCUUAAAAUCGUAGUCUGAUUAUUUCUUGGAAAUGGCCUGCUAUGGAGCAAAAUUUUUCUGAAUAUAGAAAAGGGAUUCUGAUCUUCUUUUGCCUGAAAAGGCUGGAGAUUUUUGCCUGUUUAAGACCUGCCUUCAUUAAAUCCCUAUCAACCCAGUUGAAUUUGUUGACUUUUCAAAGUCAGGUAAUCAUGUGGGUUUGCUUUUAUCUUGGGUUUUCUUUCAUUUUCAUUUGCUCAUGCCAAGCCGAGGUUUGAGUUUUGGAACUGUGGGAUGAUUUUUCUCUGUUUUUCCGAAGCCCAACUUUAUUUUCGUGGAUUGACAGGUCUUGGGCUAGGUUUUCUCGAUUUUGGGCUACUUUCCCAGCUUUCUAGUAAUCAAGCUCGGGUGGUGCUCAAUUUUUGUGGGUUUCAAAAAUGGGCUGGGCUCCCUUCUAAAAAAAUCUUACUUGGGUCUGGGCUUUUUGACUUUGGGCCUUGAUUCCAUUCUUAGUCCAAAUUGCCUGGGUCCUGAUUUUGCCUCGUCCUUCUAGGCCUCUAGCGUUGGGCUGGGUGCGUUAAUUGUUGGCCCAAACAAAGUGGUGCUAGCAGCCUCACUUGAUGUGAUAGAUUGAAGGGGUUAGAUAAAGAGAGUUUGAUGUUUUCUCUCUUUCAAUUUCACCAACUUGAAAACCCUACGAUGAUAGGAUUCCAUAGCUACACACUUUGGUCCAACACAUUAAUCCUAUAAUGCGUCACAUAUGUGCCUAAGUCCAUAUGGUCAAAUCCUUUUUGAAUUUCCCAGUCGUAUGGGACCUUUAAUUAAAGUUUCAUAACUUUAAUUGAAUAAUUAAAUUAAUCCAAUCAAUUUAAUUACUCUAGUGACUUGACUAAUUCAAUCACUCACUUGUCUAACAAGUGUUGGUCCCAGUCAUCCUUAGUUGAUCGUGUCAAGUGUCGGGUCAACCAUUUGACCUUUGACUUUUGACUUGACAUUUGACUUUGACAUUGACUUUGACCAAGUCACAAAAUCAUUCAUUCUCUUCAUAAUUUCCCAAUCGAUUCAUUUUCAGUGUGCAAUCUUAUAGGUUCUAAUUAACGAGGCAGUAGGUAUGAGUGAUUCACUUUGAAUCAAGUGUGAAUUGUAUCCCUCCAUACAAUUCUCCUUAUUGGCGAAGGCUAAUUAUAAUUAGUCCUUACAAGCUUCCACAAGCCAUGAGUGACACCUAGCAGUAUGUCAUGGCUACCCAAGCUAAAAAGAAUUCAUUUAGAAAACCUAGUCAGUUUGUGAUUACAAUGCAAUUCGAUCAUUCUCUAAUUCAAUACUCUAUGUCAUAUUCUCGGAAUAUGGUAAACUUGUGUCAAAAUCCCUAAUAUGACAUCUUUAGAUUAUAUGAUUCAAUUUGAUGAAAUUGCAAACGUUCUUGUUCCAAUUUUCAUCCAAUACUUUGGCCAAAGAUUAACGAAUCAUAUCUUUAGAGUAUUUUCUCUUCUUACUAAGAGCAGAGAUUCUUUGUUGUACAUUCACCUGUCCCUACGUAAAAGCUAAGAAUCCUGAGGAACACAUUUAAGUCACAUCAUUUUAAUACGACCGUAUAGUACUCUCAAAGAGAAACAAUAUAUACACAGGACAACUGUGAUGUCUCAGGUCUAAGGAUUAAUUUGUAUUAUCACAUCUUAGAAUUCUUUGUUUGACACUUGUGAGUAAGACUUCCAUACAAGAAUUCUAGAGUUGAUCGUGUUCAGUGGACUCCAUCUUCUAUAGAGCACCUACACAUAUGUCUCAGUGUCUCUACACGAAUGACUUGAGACUAGUCAUCCUCCCAAUUGAGCAGACAUAAUGUGUACCAGUCUUUGCGGGUCACCAUUGUCCAAUUGGUGAUCCUAUGAGGAACAUUUUAGGAUACGACAUUUAUAUGUAUGGAAAGGUCUCGUUCAUCUAACUUCUUAAUUAUUGUGAUAACAUGAAUGCCAUUUUACUACUCAACAAGAGACAAGAUGGUCUCAAAAGACCCCUGGUCAACUAUGCGGUCAAACUAGUCAUAUUGAUCAAUCGAUGGUCAACCGGGCCUACAGGGCCCACGACCUCCGAUUUACAAUUCGAAAGUUCCUACUGGUACGAUAAGGUCUACUAAAUAAGUCCUGUAAGUUUGGUCUCGAUCGAAGGUUGGAUGUAAACCAAUCGCAUGAUUAGACGACGAUCGCUUUGCCUAAUACUAGAAUCAUUGAUUAGGAGUAUCCGCGGCUCCGAUUCUUGAUCCACAAGUUCUUAUAUGAUCCUAGAGGUAACAUACUUGGAAAUGGAGACGAUCCAACUGUCCGAACAUAUCGAACCCAGAUAUCGCGUAACAGGCAUAAAUCUGUUCGACUAUCAUACGAUAAUCAAAUUCAAACUCGAGCACACUGUCGUGUUCGGGAUGACAUGGGAAAAUUUUCAGGACACAAUGACCCGCCACAGAGUGGCCCACGCGCUGCCACACGUGCCCGCAGCACUUGGAUGGCUUGAGUAAAUUUUGGCAAUCGAAAAAUUCUGGAAGCACCCUACAAUACCUAUGCUAAAUGCGUUCAGACUAACUUGGGGAUCAACUUUUGUUCUUGGACCAAGGCCAAAAACUAACCGGAACUAGCCGAAUCGAAGCCGAAACCGUCGGCCAAAAAUGGUUUUAAGAAUCGAUCUGUUAAACCUCAAAAUUAACCCAAACCAAGCAUAUAAACAGGUAGAGCACAAAGAGUAGAUGAAGUUUCAUACAUGGUUCGACAAUUUUGGUUGGCAAAAUCGUUGGAAAUCGCACGAACACUUCCAGCAACGAAAGGGGGUUUUCGGCUCAGAAUGAAGACCAAUAUUGGAGUUUCGAAGUUGGAAAUGGGUAUGGACAUGUAGAGGAGGAAGAUAUGAAGAUUUUGCAAGUUAUGGCAUCGGAUUUGGUGGCCGGACGGUGCCGAAAAACGACGGUGUCACGACGCUUACAGAGGAGAGAGAGAGAGAGAGAGAGAAGGCUGCUGGGUUUUUAAAAAUCCGACUUUGAAAAAUUUAUAGUUGUGCCACUGCACUUCCGUUGACCGUAACUUCUUCGUUAAAAAUCAAUUUGGGCCCACUAUGUGUCUUCGAAUUCGUAUCAAUGAGCUCUAUGCAAUAGUGUCACUCGUUUCCCCAAAAAACUUUCAUAUUAAAAAAUGACCAAAAUGACCAUAUCUUCCAAAGAUAAAAUUGUAAAUUAAAUAAUAAUUAAUUUGGGUCGGGAUGUUACAUGAAUGCUUGGUUGAAUGACCAGAGGUAGUUGGGUGGUUAUGCCCUUAUUCUCGGGAACGUUGUUUUCUUCUCAAAGCAGUGGCGUGUUUGCCAUUCCCUGGAAUCUGAUGUGGUACUGGUACUACACGUUGAAUUCGCUUUGGGUUUCUUUAUAUUAUUGGCUUCUAAUGAGUUGAGUUUAAUGUCAAGAAACUCGCAUAAACACUGACUAAUCGUUGCUUUUCUAUACACCCAUUUGCUAGUUUUGCCUCCUUGAGUAUUUGGAUGUUAUAAUUUGGUAAAUUUUGUUGAUUUUUUAAAAUAGUGGUUCUAAUGGGAUUUUUUGUUUGUUUGUUUGUUUAUUCUUGCUUUAAUUGAUUGUUGAAUUCCAACACGUAGUUUGACGGAGGAAGGGAGUAUAAUCUUGGCGUGCAAUGCAAGUCAACUCUCGCCAACAUCUUUUGCCCUUUUGAUCUCAAAUAUUUUACCCAUGUAUCUAAUGUGCAGAUGUUUACUUCAUGUAUGUAUAUGAAAGUAGUUUUGCUACUGCAAAUUUGUUGAUAGUCCAUCACUCUUGUCAACUAUUGGACCGUUCCACAUGCCUUCAUGAUAACUUAUGGAAUUAAGUUCCCCAAUAUUUCAUUUAUUAAAUUAUCAAUGUUAACUUGGAAUGAUCAAUGUAUAUAUACUUUGACUUUAUUGUGUGCAUGCCAAAGAACAUGGGGGCGAAGAUAGAAUGACAUUCUUACUCAUGAGACAAAACAAGGCAUAUAUAAUUGCGGAUGCACAACUUGCUGAUAUAAUUAUGGGACAACACCUUGAUGCUAGGUGCAUUUUCAUAUCUUUUUAGCAUAUGUACACUGUGGUUCUUAAGAGUAUUGGUGAGACCACAAUCUUCUAAUAAAUUAUAAAGAUAAAUUGGCACCUCGAAAAUGACCUCUUUUUUUAAAAACAAUUUGUUUUUCACUUUGGCACAGCACAUGUAAAAUUGUGUCAUUCAUGGGCUAUAUAGAUUGAACAUUAGGAAAUUCUUUAUUUGUUCCCAAAUUAUACGAUUGUUCCUCCAGUCAAUGUUUUUAUUUUCUAUUUAGAAUUAAUUACUGACUCUUUUAUUUGGUUCAAUUAAUAUUGAAAAGAACGAUAAUGGGCAUUGGAAGAAAAUAUCCGCUCUAGCCAACUUGGCUAAACUUACGUUUGCAAGAAGAUAUUUCAAUUUAAGAGGUCUAAUAUAAUGUUGAAGUAAUGAGACGUGGUAGCCACUAUUACUGAAAACAGAAUUAUUAUUACUUUUUAUACCUGAGGUGCAUCAUAGUCACAUAAUGUUUAAAUUUUUUUAUUGUAAUUUUUCAUUUCUAUAAUACUCGGUGCUUCUAAACAACGUAUCAAGAAAGUACAUAGUGAGGCCACUUGCAGUGGGAGGAAGGAUUCCAAGGGAUACACACUUCUUGGUAGAUGCAUACUUUUGCAAUCCUUCAAGUUUAUCUGAGUAAUUCUUUCAAGCAUUCCAAGGGAUGGGUCAACCUUAUACAAUCGUAUACAACCUUCCAGAAUCAGAUACUCAAGAUUUGGAAAGCCUCUAAAGUCUGGGGUGUUGACAAGAUUCAAAGAGUGGCUGAGCUUAAUGAUUUUCAAAUUGUAUAAAAGCUGUCAAAAGAACACAGUAAAAAAAUUAGCUUCAAAUUCUAUGAAAGGCUGUCAAGUAAGAACACAUAAAAAAUAUAAAAAAAUCUUCGAUGUUUAAGGUAAUAGAAGAUAAAGCAGUAAUUGUUGAAGGAUAAAUUGUUUCCAGGUUUAGUUUAGUUAGUUAGUUAGUUGGACAGGUGUAUGGCUCAUAUGCCAUCACAUAUUGUUGGACUAACAUGUCCAGAUUCAUGCCAAGUGUACAGCUCACAUGCUGGUACAAAUGUAUUGGCUGAGUCAUUUUCUGUACUAGCUAAAAUAUAUAUAUUGAAAGUAGGAUGAGAUCACACAAUGAGUGUGUGCAUGAUUACAUUCUUUUUGCCUAACAGAUUCUCUCCCUCUCCUUUCUCCCUAAAACCUUUUCUCAUACACUUUCUGUGCAUGAACCUCUACUAUUCUAUAGAAACUUCAACAUGGUAUCAGUAGCAAAGGUUCUGAUCUGAGACUGGGCGUAGUGAAAUCACAAUCCAGCUGAAGGAAGCAUUAUCUAGUCUCACAUGGCUGGAUCUAGCAUGAGUGAGCUUCGUGCUCCCAUCUUCAAUGGAAGCAACUACGAUUUCUGGAGAAUAAAGAUGUGCACAAUCUUCAAAUCUCACAAGCUGUGGGAUAUGGUUGAGAAUGGAUAUGGGCAACCUGUGAAGAUGGAAGAAGGAGAAACUCUGACAGCAGCUGUGGAAGAAAAUAUUGCAAAAGAUGCUAAGGCAUUGGGUCUGAUCCAGAAUGCAGUUUCUGAUGAUAUUUUUCCCAGAAUUGCUUUGAAGGAAUCAGCCAAGGAAGCAUGGGAAAUCCUGCAGCAAGAAUUCAGAGGAGACAAGAAGGUAAGAUCUGUGAAACUUCAAGCUCUUAGGAGAGAAUUUGAAUACACUCGUAUGCAUGAUGAUGAAUCAUUGUCUGGAUAUGUCACUAAACUGCUUGAGCUAGUAAACCAAAUAAAGGCUUAUGGUGAAGAGUUAACUGAACAGAGAAUUGUUCAGAAACUCUUGAUUAGUUUAUCCAGAGAAUAUGAUUCCAUUGCUGAGGUUAUAGAGGAGACAAAAGAUACAGAAACUAUAGGGGUUCAAGAGGUUAUAGGCUCUCUAAAAUCUCAUGAACAAAGGCUGCAGAGGCAUAAUGAGAGAGUGACUGAGAAGGCUUUCUCUAGUUUGAAUGUGAGCUCUAAAGAUCAGUCUAACACAGGGCAGGCAGGGGGUUCCAAAUCCAAAAAGAAUUGGAAAUCUCAGAAAGGGAAGAAGUGGGACUCAAAGUCUGAAAAUAAUUUUAAAAAGGAAAGUCAGACUGAGGGAGCAAAGGUGCCUUGCAAAACCUGUGACAAAUUGCACUAUGGUGUCUGCUGGUUCAAAGGCAAACGUAAAUGUUAUAAAUGUGAUAGGUUUGGUCAUAUAGCCAAAGACUGCAAGGGAAAACCAGAAGCUGCUAACUAUGCAUCACACAAGGAGGAAGAAGGCAACAUGUUCUAUGCUUGUCAUGCUGCUGCAAUAGUAAAAAAUAAUGGUGUGUGGUAUGUGGACAGUGCAUGCAGCAACCACAUGACUUCACAAGCAUCCCUUCUAGUCAAUAUUGACACCAAAGUCACUGCAAAGGUAAAAAUGGGCACUAGAGACUUAGUGGAAGCAACUGGAAAAGGAACUUUGGUGAUUGACACUAAAGCUGGGCCUAGAUAUAUCAAAGAGGUUAUGCUUGUACCAGGAUUGGAUGAAAACUUACUUAGUGUAGGUCAAAUGGUAGAGCAUGGCUACUAUCUUGUCUUUGGUGAUUCUAUGGUUGAAAUAUUUGAUGACAGGUCAAUGGAGAAUCUGCUUGCAAAGGUUUCCAUGACAGGAAACAGAUGCUUCCCACUGUCAUUGAAAUAUGCAAACUCAGUGGCUAUGAAAGCAACAGUUGAAGAAUCCACUUCGUGUUGGCAUAGGAGGUUUGGCCAUUUGAAUAUGCAGAGUCUGAAGUUGUUACAACAACAGGAGCUGGUCUAUGGUCUGCCUGAAAUUGGAAAUGCAAACAGAAUUUGCCAAGACUGUGCAAUUGGAAAAUCCCACAGAGAGGCCUUUGGCAAAGAGAAAAUUUGGAGAGCUAGUUUACCUCUGGAGCUGGUUCAUUCAGAUGUUUGUCGUCCAAUGCAGACCACAUUAAUAGGUGGAAACAAAUAUUUUUUGACUUUCAUUGAUGACUGCACCAGAAUGUGCUGGGUGUACUUCAUGCAAUUCAAGUCAGAAGUUUUUAACAUCUUCAAGAAAUUUAAGGCUAUGGUAGAAUUACAAAGUGGCUACAAACUGAAGAAACUUAGGAGUGACAGAGGUGGGGAAUAUACCUCUGCUGAAUUUCUGCAGUUUUGUGAAGAAAUUGGUUUGGAAAGACAACUAACCGUGGCCUAUUCACCUCAGCAAAAUGGAGUUGCUGAGAGAAAGAACAGGACCAUUGUUGAGAUGAGCAAGACAAUGAUGAAAGAGAAGAAACUACCAUACAAAUUUUGGGGAGAGGCAUUGAAUACAGCUGUCUAUAUUCAGAAUAGAUGCCCCACAAAAGCUUUAGAUAAUGUCACUUCAUUUGAAGCUUUUAGUGGAAGAAAGCCUGGGGUUAAACACUUAAGAGUGCUUGGUUCUAUAUGUUUCUGUCAUGUGCCUAAUUAGUUGAGGUCUAAGCUGGAAGAUGCAGCUGUUAAGUGCAUUUUUGUUGGCUAUGGCAAAUGUGAAAAGGGGUACAAAGUGUACAAUUUGCAAACCAACAAGAUCACUACAUCUAGAAGUGUGAUCUUUGAUGAGAACUCACUAUGGGAUUGGGACAAGCAAAUUGUUGAUUCUGUCACAGUUCAGAUGAGGCUUGAAGACACUUCUAGAAGUAGUGAAAAGGAGCAUGAAGAAACAAUGAUAGACAUUUCCAGUCCACCUCAAGUAACUGCAGCUGCUACAAAUGUUACUUCACCAAGUGAUUCUCCAAGUUCUACACCUGUAAAGCUUAGAGACAUCACUGAGAUUUAUGCUAGAUGCAAUAUGAGCAUCAUUGAGCCAGAGAAUUUUGCAGAAGCAUCAAAGGAUAAGGCUUGGCAAAAGGCAAUGGAAGCAGAAAUGGAAAUGAUUGAGCAAAAUGAGACUUGGGAACUAGUAGAUAGACCAAGUGAUAAACCUGUGAUUGGUGUGAAAUGGGUUUAUAAGACCAAAUUGAACCUUGAUGGCUCAAUACAGAAGCAUAAAGCAAGGCUGGUGGUCAAAGGCUAUGCACAAAAGCCUGGAAUCGACUUCAAUGAGACUUUUGCUCCUGUGGCCAGACUUGACACAAUUAGAACUCUCAUAGCUUUGGCAGCUCAAAAGGGGUGGAAAUUAUACCAGUUAGAUGUCAAGUCUGCAUUCCUAAAUGGUGUGCUUAAGGAGGAAGUUUAUGUAGACCAACCGGAUGGAUUUGUAACUACAAACUAUGAAGACAAGGUGUACAAGUUGAAGAAAGCCUUGUAUGGUUUGAAACAGGCUCCAAGAGCCUGGUAUGAGGAAAUCAAUGCCUAUCUUGUUAGCUGUGGUUAUGUCAGAAGCACAAGUGAGGCUACAUUGUAUUGCAAGACUAAGGAAGACUCUGGAACUCUAAUAGUCUCAAUCUAUGUUGAUGACAUUGUGUAUACAGGCAGCAGUGAAGAAUUAAUUGAUGAAUUUCAAGACUGAAAUGAUGAGAAGGUAUGAAAUGACUGAUUUAGGCCUUUUAUAUCAUUUCCUUGGUAUGGCAGUGAUUCAAACUGAAUCCUGCAUUUUCAUAAAUCAAAAGAAGUAUGCUCUGACGUUGCUGGACAAGUUUGGUUUGAAGCAAUGUAAGCCAGUUAGUACUCCUCUAGUGGCAACUAAAAAAUUGUGCAAAGAUGAUGGAAGUGAUCCUGCAGAUGAGAGUGAGUACAGACAGAUUGUGGGUAACCUAUUGUAUUUGACAACUACAAGACCAGACAUAAUGUUUGCAGCUAGCCUAUUAGCUAGAUUCAUGCAUUGUCCAACAAAGAAACACUAUGGAACGGCCAAGAGAGUGCUGAGGUAUAUUCAAGGCACCAUUGAUUUUGGUAUUGAAUAUCAGAAAGGAAAAGAAGCCAUCCUAAUUGGAUAUUGUGACAGUGAUUGGGGUGGAAGCCAAGAUGACAUGAGAAGCACCUCUGGCUAUGCUUUCUCUUUUGGCAGUGGAGUAUUUUCUUGGGCAUUAGUCAAGCAACAUAGUGUUGCUCUCUCCACGGCUGAGGCUGAGUAUGUCAGUGCAAGUGAAGCUACUACACAAGCAAUAUGGUUGAGGUUUGUUCUAGAAGAUUUUGGAGAAUUGCAAACUGAUGCAACUCCAUUAAUGGUUGACAACACUUCUGCCAUUGCAAUGACAAGAAAUCCGGUUUUCCAUCAGAAAACCAAGCACAUCAACCGCAGGUAUCAUUUCAUCCGAGAUGCUCUACAAGAUGGAGUUGUGGAUUUGAGAUACUGCAGGUCUGAAGAACAAGUGGCUGACAUCUUCACUAAAGCUCUAUCUAAAGAUCGGUUUAACUAUCUUAGAGGAUUGCUUGGAGUUAAACCUGUUAACAAUUUAGAAGGGAGUGUUGAAGGAUAAAUUGUUUCCAGGUUUAGUUUAGUUAGUUAGUUAGUUGGACAGGUGUAUGGCUCAUAUGCCAUCACAUAUUGUUGGACUAACAUGUCCAGAUUCAUGCCAAGUGUACAGCUCACAUGCUGGUACAAAUGUAUUGGCUGAGUCAUUUUCUGUACUAGCUAAAAUAUAUAUAUUGAAAGUAGGAUGAGAUCACACAAUGAGUGUGUGCAUGAUUACAUUCUUUUUGCCUAACAGAUUCUCUCCCUCUCCUUUCUCCCUAAAACCUUUUCUCAUACACUUUCUGUGCAUGAACCUCUACUAUUCUAUAGAAACUUCAACAGUAAUAACGUACCUUAACACCCGUCCAAAAAGAUUCAAUGUGACUAUGGCACAUGUUAAGUUCUAGUAGGUUCUCUGGAUUGAAAUGUGAGGGGAAAUAUUUUGAAGGAUACCCAGCCCAUUCAAGACUUCGUAAAUUAUCGGAGAGAUAUUCAAGAUCAUUAGAGAGGUUCACAUUAGCAAGAUUGAGAAGUCUCAGUUUCUUCAUCCUUGAAAAGCAUUUAGCAUUCGCGUGCAACACUGGCCCAGUUUUGUCCGUGGUUAUACUUUCUACUGCGUCUGUUCCCUAUCAAACAUGCACGGAUAAAGAAUAGUGAAGCUCAUAUAACUAACAUAUGAAAAGAACUGUAACUCAUUUGUAAACUAAGAGUCCCCUUACUGUAUUUUUGCUCAAGACAUGCUUGGUCUCUUCAUGGCGCCACAACCUGCUGCGAUUUCCUGGCUCAUCAAGACACUCUCGAUUGACAAUUUCACAUCCCAUCUCUUGGACCAACUGAUGCAUCCAUAGAGUGACAUAUGAAUUAGUUAACAGAGAUUUCUCAAUGAGGACAUCUAUUCCUAUACCUGCACAAAAGCCGCAACUGUCUAGGAUUUCUAUAACUCGAUCUUCUUUCUCCCUGUUAAAGAAACACGCAAUGUCUAGGAAAAUUUUCUUCUCCUUGUCAUCUGGAUCAUCGUAAUUUAUUUGAAGUGUCCCCAAAACUAUGUUACAAAUACCUCUUAGUUUACCCAACGCACUGUUCCAAGCACUUACAUGUCUUUCACGCAAAAAACUCCCCAAAACUUUAAGAGCUAGUGGAAGACCAUCGGCAUAACUCACAACACAGCUAGACAAUUCAAUAUAGUUUUUUUUCAGGGUGGUCUUUUCCAAAGGCUUUCCAACUAAAAAGCUUAAGAGCGUCAUCAUGAUUUAGAGGUUUGACAUGAAAUCUUCUCUUCACUCCAUGUUCAAUUAACAAAUGCUCAUUUCUAGUUGUAAUAAGAACUCUACUCCCAGAACCAAACCACUCUUGCUUUCCAGCCAAAUAAUCUAAAUGAUCUGAGUCGGUCACAUCAUCGAGAAUGAGAAGAACCUUUUUGUGAUGAAGUAAUCUUCUAAUCAUUGUGGAUCCUUCAUGAACAUCAAAUAUGUCAAUCGUUUUCAUCGAUAUCCUUGAAAGAAUUUCUCUUUGUUGGGAUAUUAAACCACGUUUUUGAACAUUAUCUUUGACAUUCUCAAGAAAUAUGCUGAAUUCAAAUUCAGGAGAGAUUCUCUCGCGAACAACUCUGGCAAUAGUUGUUUUACCAAUCCCACCCAUACCCCAUAUCCCUAUAAAGCGAACAUCAUCGACUCCUGCACCUAACAAUAAAUCAAUUGAGUUCAUACUUGAGUCUAAUCCAACUGAGUUCUCCACAGAAGUAAACGAUGUAGGAUGUAAUCUUUUCCAUAUCACAUCGAUUAUAUCUUUGAUGAGCAAGGUUUCGUACCUAUAACAUAUUAACAUCAAUAUCAGUCAUAAAGAAUCAACAUGCAUAUAUGUUUUCUCUAGUUUUUAUACAAAUACUCUUGAUCACUGAAAAGAAAAGUUGUCAGACCAUAUAUAAAAAUACUCCUGGCUUAAGGUCGAAAAAGAAGCAGCUAUAUUAUUCAUUGCAUGUGCCCAAACCCCAUUAUGCAAUAGCCAAGUAGGCCUAAUAUUAUCCAGAAUAAGAGCGCCAAAGAAAAUCACCAAACUAGUCAUUCUGAUUUGCAUGUGAUCAAUUUUUGUUUUAAAAAAAAUAUUGUUUAAAAAGUUGUUUGGUUAAUAAUUUCAGUUUUAUGUGAAACUUAGAAAUUGAAAAAAAAAAAAGAUUUGGUCAAAUGGUGAAUUAGAUAUCAUAGAAUUAAAGUGCAAGUUACAAAGAGUUCAUAGUAUUUUUUGGUGAAAUUUUUAAAGUUUAGGAUUUUUUUUUUUUGUUAAUUUUUUAUUUGGAGGUCAUUAUGCUUGGAUGUCCUCAGCUGAAUGCAAGAGUCGAGGGGCCAGAUCCAAUUCAGGAGGUCCCAAAUAUCAAGUAUUAGUAACUGGAGUGCAAUACAUGUGUAGUGAUGUAAAAUUGGUGAAUGAAAAGUGUGUUAACUGUGAUAUUAAACAGUUAGUAAAUCAGGUGUGCAAGGCACGUGGGUUGUUAGUAGAAUUAGUUAGACAGUUAGAUUAGUUAUACGGGUAAGCUUUGCAUAAACUGAUAUAAAGUGUAACAGUGCUGGUGAAUGUGGUUAAGCAAUACAGAAAUCAGAAUUUACAAUUUUCUCUCUGUUUCUAUUUCCUUCCCCUUCUUCUUCUUUAGAUAUCGUCUUCACUCCUCUCUGAAUAUGUUUGUUCACAUGGUAUCAGAGCAAGGCUUCACGUGUUGGGCUCAACGGCCACACGUGCUCCCACGUCACCCAAUAAGCUAGGCUAGUUGCUCAGGGAUUUAGUCAACAACCUGGUUUAGACUUUGGGGAAACAUUUAGCCCUGUCGUCAGACAUACGGGACCUAGCCUGGGCUUAUAAGGAGUUGGGCUACUCCCCCCAUUGCCAAUUGGUUUUGGGGUGGAACCUCAACUUUCUUCAUGGUAUUAGAGGAGGAGGUGUUUAUGCGUCAACCACAAGGGUAUGAAGAUCCUGCUCAUCCAGAGUAUGUGUGUAAGCUCAAGAAAUCAUUAUAUGGUCUAAAGCAAGCUCCAAGGGCUUGGAAUGCUAAAUUCACAGGAUAUCUGCCAGCACUGGGGUUCAAAAUAUCUCACUCUGAUCCGAGUCUGUUUGUGAAACACGAAGGUUCAGAUGUGAUCGUGUUGCUGCUAUAUGUCGAUGAUAUUAUAUUAACUGGCUCUAAUGCAGAUUUGGUACAAAAUGUGGUUGAUAACCUGAGUUCAGUUUUUGAAAUGAAAGAUAUGGGUCGCCUUGCUUAUUUCUUAGGAUUGCAAAUUGCAUAUCCUGCCUCAGGAGGUUUGUUUGUGAGUCAAACGAAAUAUGCUAAGGACCUGUUGCAUAAAGCUGGAAUGCAGUCGUGCAGAGCAUGUUCAACUCCAUGUAAACCACAUAAUCAAAUUUUGACAGAUUGUGGUGAACCGUUAUCUGAUCCCACCAUGUUUAGAAGUGUUGUUGGGGCUUUACAGUAUUUGACAUUCACAAGACCUGACUUGGCCUAUGCAGUAAACACAGUCUGUCAAUAUAUGAAUAAUCCUACUUAUGUUCAUUGGUUGCUAGUCAAAAGAAUCUUAAGAUAUGUUCAAGGCACUCUGAGCUUUGGCAUCAAUUUUACGAGCAGUACUAGAGUAAGUGAUCCUUGGCAGUUGUCAGCAUAUAGUGAUGCUGACUGGGCUGGGGACAUCAACACAAGGAGAUCUACCACAGGUUUUGUAGUGUUUUUAGGACCUAAUCCCAUCUCUUGGCAGUCCAAAAAGCAGGGAUCAGUCUCCAGGAGCUCCACAGAGGCAGAGUAUAGAGCCUUGGCAAACACUGCUGCAGAUAUUGCUUGGAUCAGACAGGUGUUGCAGGAUGUGAAAUUCUUUCUACCUAAUCCUCCUGUAAUGUAUUGUGACAAUCUAUCUGCCUUAGCACUUAGCUCCAAUCCUGUCUACCAUUCCAGGAUCAAACAUCUGGACAUUGACUAUCAUUUUGUGCGAGAGAAAGUUCAGAAGAAAGACUUACUGGUACAGUAUGUCCCUACAGAAGAACAAGUGGCAGAUGUAUUCACAAAAGGAUUACAUAGUCCUAUAUUCUCAAGACAUUGUAGUCAUCUUCGAUUAGGAGAUGUAACAGGGUAGGGAAAAUGUUAACUGUGAUAUUAAACAGUUAGUAAAUCAGGUGUGCAAGGCACGUGGGUUGUUAGUAGAAUUAGUUAGACAGUUAGAUUAGUUAUACGGGUAAGCUUUGCAUAAACUGAUAUAAAGUGUAACAGUGCUGGUGAAUGUGGUUAAGCAAUACAGAAAUCAGAAUUUACAAUUUUCUCUCUGUUUCUAUUUCCUUCCCCUUCUUCUUCUUUAGAUAUCGUCUUCACUCCAUUAGAGCCAGUUAAUAUAAUAUCAUCGACAUAUAGCAGCAACACGAUCACAUCUGAACCUUCGUGUUUCACAAACAGACUCGGAUCAGAGUCUGAAAAUUAUAUUUCACUUUUUUGAAAUAGAAAAUUAAAUUUGUUUCCAAACAUGUUUUCAGUUUUCAAUAAAACUGAAAAUUAAAUGGAUAUCAAGAAACCCCUUGUAGCUAAUGAAUCUGGCAUAAUAAACCAUCCCGAAUCCUAACCCUUCACUAAUUUCACCCCUUGGCUACAAACCCUAAACUUAAUUUAAUCUUGAUCUUCC